ACGGAAGGCAGCAGUGGGGAAUAUUGCACAAUGGGGGAAACCCUGAUGCAGCGACGCCGCGUGAGUGAAGAAGUAUUUCGGUAUGUAAAGCUCUAUCAGCAGGAAAGAAAAUGACGGUACCUGACUAAGAAGCCCCGGCUAACUACGUGCCAGCAGCCGCGGUAAUGCGUAGGGGGCAAGCGUUAUCCGGAUUUACUGGGUGUAAAGGGAGCGUAGACGGCUUUGCAAGUCUGAAGUGAAAGCCCGGGGCUCAACCCCGGAACUGCUUUGGAAACUGUAGAGCUAGAGUGCAGGAGAGGUAAGUGGAAUUCCUAGUGUAGCGGUGAAAUGCGUAGAUAUUAGGAGGAACACCAGUGGCGAAGGCGGCUUACUGGACUGUAACUGACGUUGAGGCUCGAAGGCGUGGGGAGCAAACAGGAUUAGAUACCCUGGUA
RNAcentral lists this ribosomal RNA (434 nucleotides) under uncultured Lachnospiraceae bacterium. RNAcentral's name for it is "partial 16S ribosomal RNA". It matches the Rfam family "Bacterial small subunit ribosomal RNA", at positions 341 to 792 of the family's 1533-position model. The record is from RNAcentral. Lineage: Bacteria; Bacillati; Bacillota; Clostridia; Lachnospirales; Lachnospiraceae.